RNAcentral lists this ribosomal RNA (456 nucleotides) under Triticum aestivum (bread wheat). Its description in RNAcentral is "partial small subunit ribosomal RNA". The record is from RNAcentral. Lineage: Eukaryota; Viridiplantae; Streptophyta; Magnoliopsida; Poales; Poaceae.
AUGUCGAUCGUGAGGCGGAGUAACGUGUUCGAUCCCUUCGCCGACCUCUGGGCGGACCCCUUCGACACCUUCCGCUCCAUCGUCCCGGCGAUCUCAGGCGGCAACAGCGAGACGGCGGCGUUCGCCAACGCCCACGUGGACUGGAAGGAGACCCCCGAGGCGCACGUCUUCAAGGCAGAUCUUCCAGGGGUGAAAAAGGAGGAGGUCAAGGUGGAAGUGGAGGACGGCAACGUGCUCGUCGUCAGCGGCGAGCGCACAAAAGAGAAGGAGGACAAGAACGACAAGUGGCACCGCGUGGAGCGCAGCAGCGGCAAGUUCGUGCGGCACUUCCGCCUGCCGGAGGACGCCAAGGUGGAGGAGGUGAAGGCCGGGCUGGAGAACGGCGUGCUCACCGUCACCGUGCCCAAAGCAGAGGUCAAGAAGCCCCAGGUGAAGGCCAUCAAGAUCUCCGGCUAA